AGGGAAGCAAUACCGCGAGGUGGAGCAAAUCCCUAAAAGCCAUCCCAGUUCGGAUCGCAGGCUGCAACCCGCCUGCGUGAAGUUGGAAUCGCUAGUAAUCGCGGAUCAGCAUGCCGCGGUGAAUACGUUCCCGGGCCUUGUACACACCGCCCGUCACACCAUGAGAGUCGGAACACCCGAAGUCCGUAGUCUAACCGCGAAGGGGGACGCGGCCGAAGGUGGGUUCGAUAAUUGGGGUGAAGUCGUAACAAGGUAUC
Molecule: ribosomal RNA, 257 nt
Filed under: uncultured bacterium
Lineage: Bacteria
Description: partial 16S ribosomal RNA
Rfam family: Bacterial small subunit ribosomal RNA
Source: RNAcentral